AAGGGGCGGGGCCAGCGACCGGGUGGCCGCGCGGGGCUCGGCGGUGCUGCCCGCCCCCGCCGCCCGCGACCCGGGCACCGCGGCGGGGAGGGGGCGGCCGCCGCCCGGCGCCGCGCCGAGGCCGCCUGAGGCCAGGGGUGCUCCGACAUUUCCCUGCCACCGGCCACACCUCCGGCGGGGCCGCGAUACCAUCUCCUGCGAGGCGGGCGGGGGGGGCGGAGGGGGGCUGUUAACCCUUCACCGCUCGCAGAGCCUGUGUGGGGCCCUGGCCACCGCCGCAGCCCCCGCGACAGCUGGAACAACGGCCUUCGGACAAGAAAAAACAUCUUCUGAGCGACCGGCUUGCGACCCACCUUCGGUGUCCACGACCCGCGUCUCAGGACUGCUUAUUCAGUGUUUUCAGACACCUGCCUUUGAGCUUGUUCUUUUUAGAAAAUUACUUAGGUGAGGACAAGUUUAUAGAAGUAAAGUGACAAGAACAGCACUUUAUUUUUAAUGCUCAUACCAGUCUUUCGUCAGUUAAUUUACACAUACAACUGACGUGGCUCGUUACAGGAUUAGAUGCGUCUUUAUAUCAGGUUAUUUGGGUGUUUGUUUCAAAUGAGGAGAAAUGAGAUAAUGCUUAAAUUAUUUUCAUUCAUAAUCUUCACAUUUAAUAAGCAUAAAUCAGUAUCCUUCCCAUUUUACUGAGGCAGGGCAAUAAAAGCAGAAGGCAUCUAACAGGCUUUCGGAAGAUGAGUAGCAGAACCAGAACUGGAAUCCAGGUCUCAUCGCUUCCCAUCCAGAGAGCACUUGCUCCAGGACAGAACAGUGCCCCUGGAGUGCGUUCUGCCUACGAUCAGGAAAAGUCCAAUGCAUCCAACUUUUUCCUAGGUAUUUUCCACUCCAGAUUAAACACUUUUUUUUCCCCCCAAUACAGUUUUAAAGUACCUUCCUCCCCCCUUUGUACAAACCAGUUUUAGCUACAACUGAUCAAGGGUUAAUAGCAUAAUUCACUUAUAACUAGUUAUUAUUCUGGUUAAUGCACUAAGCAUGAAAAGCCAAUGGCUUCACCUCAGGCCACUCGAAACUUUGUGGUUAACUACUAAGGAUGAGAGAUCCUUCUGAAGCGAUGCUUUAAUCCACAUGGUAGCACACACAAACGUGUGCAUUUUGGCUUUGAACUUACUUCACUGUGUUACUAGAAGAGUUUCAAAGCAGAUUUAGCAUAAGAUACAUUUUAUUACCUAGCAGUUAGGUAAAUUUAUCUCCAGAUCUUUGUAAAGAAUUUUUUCCUUGUCCUAGUUUAUCAGAAUUUUGCCAAAGUGAUAGUAAGAAGUAGCAGUUCCAAUGGUUCUAGCAAACUUUGGAAGACCUGCUGUCCGUUUUACUCUGGAAGCAUGCUAAGGGGUUAAGUGUAAUAAGCUAAACUAUGGCAAAAAUACUUAACUGAUAAAGAGAACUUCCAGUAGCCUGUGUGUGCAGCUGGCUGGUAUCUUACAAAGCUAGCUAUGUCAUGUCACAAACCUCUAUACAGUCAGAAACAAAGUGUGCACUAAGGUGAAAAAUCAGGUGGACAUUUCAAUCAGGAAAUUCUGGUUCUUGUUCCAAGGCAGGAGCCCUCAGCCACGGCACAGAAAUGCCAACUGCAGGCACAUCGGUGGCCAAAUCCGGCUCCACGCGUGUCCCCCCACCCCCACCCCCCGCAGGUAGCCUCAAUGCUUUUCAUGCACCGACUUGCACGUGUCGCCCGUGGCUUCCUGCCCUUCUGUCCCAAGGCCAGGAGUGCCUUAAACAACUUUUAACACAGGUCUGGGCGAUGGGGUAAGUCCCUGUUGCCACAUAAAAUAUAUCCCUAAGUAGGCAGCAUUACCUGCAGAUUAACUAAAGGAAUUAGUAUUCUACAAACUGCUAGAAGUAAAAUUAAACUUUAUUUAAAAAUUCUUCUAAUAUAGAAAACGAGAGGAAACAAAGGCAACAAACUAAUGCCCACGUUUCCAUCUCAUUACAUGAGUUACUGUAUUUACAGCUUCAGAAAGGAGCACUGGCAGAAGGUACACGUCCUGCUACUUAUGGAGAACUACAAACAACAAUACAUUGUACAAACCUGACAUAACAUUUAAGGUUCAUUGCAGGAAACAAUUAAAUACACUUGCUAAGACAGACAGCAGAAGAGCACAGACAGGUGUUAAUUCAUCCUGACUUCACCAAGUGUUCUGUACAGCCCAAACUACCGAUUUGAUUUCCUUCUCACUCAAGAAUUCUCAUAACUGUGGCAAGAACUGCCAUACAUUAUGUUAACAGGUUCGUUUAGCAUGAUUUGGAGAUGUCAGCAAGCUGCAAGGUAAAAUGUGACAUUACUGAACCAUUUCUAUCAUAACUUUACUUUCUGGAGAGUUUGGAGAAACUGAAUAAAAUCAAAGCAGUGAAACAACAUGGAA
Molecule: long non-coding RNA, 2420 nt
Organism: Dromaius novaehollandiae (emu)
Lineage: Eukaryota; Metazoa; Chordata; Aves; Casuariiformes; Dromaiidae
Exons: 3
Source: RefSeq, a predicted model, not a curated record